This 87-nucleotide transfer RNA is filed under the name Firmicutes bacterium HGW-Firmicutes-8. RNAcentral describes it as "tRNA-Leu". RNAcentral also lists the same sequence under 1 other name. The record is from RNAcentral. Lineage: Bacteria; Bacillati; Bacillota.
GCGGUCGUGGCGGAAUUGGCAGACGCGCUAGAUUCAGGUUCUAGUGCCCUUACGGGUGUGGGUGUUCAAGUCACCUCGACCGCACCA